UGAAUCCUGCGUGCUGUACAAAAAGAUGGC
Molecule: non-coding RNA, 30 nt
Filed under: Mus musculus (house mouse)
Lineage: Eukaryota; Metazoa; Chordata; Mammalia; Rodentia; Muridae
Source: RNAcentral